Molecule: ribosomal RNA, 477 nt
Filed under: uncultured bacterium
Lineage: Bacteria
Description: partial 16S ribosomal RNA
Rfam family: Bacterial small subunit ribosomal RNA
Source: RNAcentral
GAUGAACGCUGGCGGCGUGCCUAACACAUGCCAGUCGAACGAAGCGCCUUACCGUAUUCUUCGUAUGAAGGUCUGGUGACUGAGUGGCGGACGGGUGUGUAACGCGCGGGUAACUUGCCCUGUACAGGGGGACAACAGCUGGAACCGGCUGCUAAUACCUCAUAAGCGCACGAGGAGACAUCUCCUCGUCUGAAAAACUUCGGUGGUACAGGAUGGGCCCGCGUCUGAUUAGCUGGUUGGCAGGGUAACGGCCUACCAAGGCAACGAUCAGUAGCCGGGCGGAGAAGAUGAACGGCCGGGAUGGAGCUGAGGCACGGUCCAAACUCCUACGGAGGGGAGCGGUAGAGAAUAUUGCACGAUGAAGGAUGACGUAGUACAGCAGCGCGGCGGAAGUGGAGAAGUAUUUCGGUAUGUAAAGCUGUAUCAGCAGAGGAGAUAGUGACGGUACCUGAUUAAGAAGCACCGGCUAAAUACGUG